GCAAGGAGUGCAGAGGCUUACUAUGAGACGGUCAAGAGGCGCCUCCGUCACGUGGAUACGUCGGGUGGAAUGCAUAGAAGACUGUACUCAAAAAAUUUUAC
Molecule: microRNA precursor, 101 nt
Organism: Caenorhabditis elegans
Lineage: Eukaryota; Metazoa; Nematoda; Chromadorea; Rhabditida; Rhabditidae
Source: Ensembl